ACGGAAGGCAGCAGUGGGGAAUAUUGGGCAAUGGGGGAAACCCUGACCCAGCAACGCCGCGUGAAGGAAGAAGGCUUUCGGGUUGUAAACUUCUUUUAACAGGGAAGAUAAUGACGGUACCUGUUGAAUAAGCCACGGCUAACUACGUGCCAGCAGCCGCGGUAAUACGUAGGUGGCAAGCGUUAUCCGGAUUUACUGGGUGUAAAGGGCGCGUAGGCGGGAGUGCAAGUCAGAUGUGAAAUCCAUGGGCUUAACCCAUGAACUGCAUUUGAAACUGUGCUUCUUGAGUGUCGGAGAGGUAGAUGGAAUUCCUAGUGUAGCGGUGAAAUGCGUAGAUAUUAGGAAGAACACCAGUGGCGAAGGCGAUCUACUGGACGAUAACUGACGCUGAGGCGCGAAAGCGUGGGGAGCAAACAGGAUUAGAUACCCUGGUA
The sequence is a ribosomal RNA, 434 nucleotides long. It matches the Rfam family "Bacterial small subunit ribosomal RNA", at positions 341 to 792 of the family's 1533-position model.